UUUUAGAGUUUGAUUCCCCGCUCAGGACGAACGCUGGCGGCGUGCCUAAUACAUGCAAGUCGUACGCUUCUUUUUCCACCGGAGCUUGCUCCACCGGAAAAAGAAGAGUGGCGAACGGGUGAGUAACACGUGGGUAACCUGCCCAUCAGAAGGGGAUAACACUUGGAAACAGGUGCUAAUACCGUAUAACAAUCGAAACCGCAUGGUUUUGAUUUGAAAGGCGCUUUCGGGUGUCGCUGAUGGAUGGACCCGCGGUGCAUUAGCUAGUUGGUGAGGUAACGGCUCACCAAGGCCACGAUGCAUAGCCGACCUGAGAGGGUGAUCGGCCACAUUGGGACUGAGACACGGCCCAAACUCCUACGGGAGGCAGCAGUAGGGAAUCUUCGGCAAUGGACGAAAGUCUGACCGAGCAACGCCGCGUGAGUGAAGAAGGUUUUCGGAUCGUAAAACUCUGUUGUUAGAGAAGAACAAGGAUGAGAGUAACUGUUCAUCCCUUGACGGUAUCUAACCAGAAAGCCACGGCUAACUACGUGCCAGCAGCCGCGGUAAUACGUAGGUGGCAAGCGUUGUCCGGAUUUAUUGGGCGUAAAGCGAGCGCAGGCGGUUUCUUAAGUCUGAUGUGAAAGCCCCCGGCUCAACCGGGGAGGGUCAUUGGAAACUGGGAGACUUGAGUGCAGAAGNUGAGA
RNAcentral lists this ribosomal RNA (686 nucleotides) under Enterococcus durans. Its description in RNAcentral is "bacterial SSU rRNA". It matches the Rfam family "Bacterial small subunit ribosomal RNA", at positions 1 to 660 of the family's 1533-position model. Lineage: Bacteria; Bacillati; Bacillota; Bacilli; Lactobacillales; Enterococcaceae. The record is from RNAcentral.